Molecule: ribosomal RNA, 253 nt
Filed under: uncultured bacterium
Lineage: Bacteria
Description: partial 16S ribosomal RNA
Rfam family: Bacterial small subunit ribosomal RNA
Source: RNAcentral
GACAGAGGGUGCAACCGUUGUUCGGAAUUACUGGGCGUAAAGCGCGUGUAGGCGGCUCUGCAAGUCAGGUGUGAAAUCCCACGGCUCAACCAUGGAAGUGCACUUGAAACUGCAGGGCUAGAGUCCUGGAGAGGAAGGUGGAAUGCUUGGUGUAGAGGUGAAAUUCGUAGAUAUCAAGCGGAACACCGGUGGCGAAGGCGGCCUUCUGGACAGUGACUGACGCUGAGACGCGAAAGCGUGGGGAGCAAACAGG